Mesocricetus auratus (golden hamster) is the source of this 3042-nucleotide long non-coding RNA. RefSeq lists it as uncharacterized. The transcript has 3 exons. NCBI's taxonomy places the organism in Eukaryota, Metazoa, Chordata, Mammalia, Rodentia, Cricetidae. The record is from RefSeq and is a predicted model, not a curated record.
AGCAUUGAUGUCGUCCACGGCAGCCAGUCCUGCGGGGUAGGGAAGUAUACACGAAGUGAGAAUGUGUGCUUCCCUCUGUUGACCCGCCCAGCCAGAGCUCCUUCCCAAGGUUCUAAUGAGCACUGGGGCUGCAGGCAUCCUAUUUCAUCCAGCUUUUACUCAUGGGCUCUGGGGAUUUGAACUCAAGUCUUCACACUUUCACAGCAAGUACUGUAUCCACUCUUUGAAUCCCAAAAGCUUUUCUUUCAGGACUGGCUUUUUUCCCCCACCUCACCCGUGAUGCCUUCAAACUACUCCGUGUCCUGAGGAUUUCCCAUCUCGUGAAUCUCAUUUGUAGGUAAAGUUGGAACAUAGCAUUCUGUAUGUUAGUACUGCCUCAUCAAGGAAAUCUUUAAGUUACCUGAAGACCAGGAGCAAGCCCUGUCCUGAUGCUGUACCCUCCCAGUGGAUCCGCACAUGGUAAGCCCACAGCAGAACUUGGCUCUGCUGUUCUACUCUCUGAAACAACCCUAAACGCCUAACCUCUCCAUCAGCUGUAACGUUCAGUGACCAAGGGAAGGGUUCAAGCAUGGAAGGAUGGAGUCGGUAGAGUUUUCAGAACACAGAAACCCAACUGCUGCUCCAACAAGUCGAAAGAAAGCUGGACAGAACCUGUAAGAUUUGCCUUCUGAGGAAGGCAUCUGGGUACCAGGAAAAACAGACACACACUCGUCUGUGUGCCCAAUGGCACACAGACACACACUCGUCUAUGUGCCCAAUGGCACGGCCACACGACAGCCAGAAUUAUUCUAACCCCUCUUGACAGGAUGACAAUUUAUCUCCCAAGGAGCCUCCCUGGACCUUUCUACCAAGAAAUGACACUCAAUAGCAGGAAGCAUGAGUAAUGGAAUCCUUCAGAUUUUAAGGUGUACCAAUAGCUCAUCAUCACACCAUGGAUUGCACUUCCAGUUCUAUUGGACUACAGAUUUUCCAAGAGAAGGGAAGAAACUUCCAGAAGAACUAAGUCACCAGACAUGGUAGUACCCUCAUCAAUUUCAUUUUGUGCUCAUGGGACAAAUUACCCAUUGCCUCAUACUUGAAAAUGGAAACGAAAGUAUAGCCAAUUAGUUAAAUCUGUGGUCAGGAGGUUAGGUCAUUGGGUAUUCAGGUAUUUAUAGAGAAUUUUGUUAAACAUACAAAGAGAAAGUUGUCUUAAUUCUAAGUAUUUCAAAGGCAUGAGACCAUUUCCUCUCAAAGCUCUCUGAGCUCAGAUGUUGUCACAUUGGCAAUAUUCAUUUCUUCCUGUAAUUCAUUUCUGUCCAGGAUGAUGAAAGUCUCAGCCUUCACAAACAGCAGAAAGAAAACACUGAAACUGAGCUUUGUGUAUCAUUACCCACAUGCUUGAGGUUCCACAGAACGGGGAUGUGCACCCCAAAAUUGCAAGGUGUGGAUGUAGACACAUCAGUAGUAAGCUCUCAUGUAAAAUCUCAUGCUUGGAUGUUAGCUGCCAGACACAGACAUGAGUUAAUCUGCAUUGACAUCCUUGAUCCCCACAGGACUAGUUUCUCCAACAGGUCUCAGCUAGACCUGCAGGUGUGUGUUUCUUUGAGUGUACGAAGGAAUAAGAAAUGUUCCUAGCACAUCUGGGCAGUGACAGGGAGGGCAGUGUUAGGAAUGCUGCUUGGUGGAAACUCUGAUUUUAAAUUCAGCAGAAGUUCACGUGAUCUAUUAAAUGGGUCCAGUGGUCUUUCAUGUAUUAAGAGUUUGGGGGAAAUACAGGCUAUGUAGACUAAUCUAGAGAGAAUCAAUAUCAAACAGAAUUCCUUACUGCCUCUUCUGAUGUUCAAGUAAAGAUAAGUUUUACUAGAUGGAGGAAAAGCCUAAUGAUUGAUGGAUCUAAAUUUACAGUUGUUCAUUUUUAACUGCCUAAGUUUUCUGGUUUUUUUCCAGUCUGUUCAAUCAGUUUUAAUUAUCAACUUGAAACAGCCUAGAGUCAUCUGAGAAGGGACUCACAAGUGAGGGAAUGCCCAGGCCAGACUGGACUGUGAGCAUGUCUAUGGGUACGUCCUGAUUGUUCGUUAUUGAUCUAGGAUGGCCCAGUCCACUGUAGGCAGUGCCCUUCCUUGGGACAGUUGGUUCUGUAUGAAAAAGUGAGCUAAGCUUCCUGAGUAUAAGCCUGCAAUUGAGCUAGCAAGCAGAACUUCUCCAUGUUCUGCUUCUAAGACCUUCUGGACUCCAGCUUUGACUCCCUCAGUGACUGACUGUAACCUGUUUGAGUCAAAUGAACCCUUCCCUCCCCCACGCUGCAUUUGGCCAAAGUGUUUACCACAGGACCGAAGGGAAACUAGAACAGUCACUUAGCUGAACAGGGCGUGGAGAGGAGCCGAACUGUGUGACCCCACACAGGCUCAGAAGCACAGACCCACACUUGCUAUCAUGCAAACUUCAUCUCACCUGCCAAUAGUCUCAUUCAGUUGCGGUAAAGGCUAUAUAAGCUGUUAAAAAAUUCUUGGAACUAUAUAUUAAAGCCUGUGAAUGUAUAAAGAACAGAAAUACCAGUAAUGUAAUACCUUUUACAAUUUCAGUACAACACCAUCACACGAUCGAGAGCAAGGGACCACAGUCAUUAAGUUGUAACAUUUUGCUAAAUAAUAAUAGUCAGUGUCAGUCCUACAAGGGACAGAGCCAAAAUGACACAUCACAGCUGUGAUGAAAUCAGAAGGCAAGGGAGAACAAGUUUCCAGACAUUUUGACAUGCUGUGUGUGAACCGGGAACAGUACCAAUGAAGGAGACCCAUCAGGAAACUGCCAGAUGUUACAUCACAAUGACGAGCAGUGUUGAUAGAUUUCCUAUUUCUUAAGACAGGUUUGCAAGCUACAAGGGGAAUUUUGUCGAGAUUCAGGCAAAGCAAGCUUACAUCUUAUAGAAAUAUCCAUUUCCCACACAUAAUCCAUCACUUACUAUUGACUGUAUUGAUGUUGGUCUGGAUUUCUGCCUGUGUCAGCAGCUCCUCAUAUGCAUCUCUCUCUUCCUCUGAAAUAUAGCUGUUCUGCAAAACAAAA